GAUCACAGCAGCCGGGUCCUUCCUGAAGGCCUUUCGGUCGGUGACAUUCUCUCGCUUCUUCUCCCCUGAGGCCGGAGAGAAGAGCGAUGCUCGGCCAGUAACCCAAACCUUCUCCCUGGAGAGCAGACCUUGAGGACAAGCGGUAUCAGAUGAGAUGCGGAAAACUGACAAGGCACAGAGAUUGAAGCGAUGGGAGUAAGGCGAGCGGGACAUCCGAGGCGCGGCAGAAGCCGGUGUGCGCAGGUCGGGCCGAUACACAUCGGUGAAAAAUAUGAGUGGGCUGAUGGUAAUCACACACAGGAAGUGACUGCACGCCACGGCAAGGAAACCGCAAGAGAGAGGCUGACCUUACUAGAACUGAGCGCCGCCGACGCGAGAAGCUGGGCUCAUGGAGCGGUAAAUGCUCCCAUGGUACACCUGUUCUCAGGGUCACGGCUGCCAACUCGACCUCUCGCAACCAAGAGGCUGACAGGCUGGGCGCAGUAAUGCGUCUGUGAUGGCCGUGGUGUGCUCGACUUACUCGGCUGGACCCCCGAUCGCCUCGCGACUUUCCCUCCUGAAAACGUAUUAUGGCUCAUAAACACCAGGACCCCAGGGGCGAGCGGAGCAGACACCGCCAUGAUCCCCCCGAAGCCCUGGAUGAGGACGAGUACCACAUCCCAGACGGCGGGUGUGAUGGGGAGUCGGCCCUCAUCCAGCCGGCCAGACCGAGCUGCAGCCAAUCUGAAUACGUUGACAGGAGUCGUCCAAGAAUGGCACGCGGUUUCUAUGCUGUGGACUGUAACCUCUCAAAAGCUCUGCCCAGUAUUCCCAUAAGAGCAAAUCAAGGGCCUGCUGUGAACAGGAACCUGAAGCCGGGGAGGCAGGCGAGGGGCCGCACGGGCCCCGCAGGUGACUUCCUCGUAUUUCAUAUUUCUCAGUCAUGA
This is a long non-coding RNA of Denticeps clupeoides (denticle herring), 926 nucleotides long. The record is from Ensembl. NCBI's taxonomy places the organism in Eukaryota, Metazoa, Chordata, Actinopteri, Clupeiformes, Denticipitidae.